AGUGAGGCAGGCACUUGCUUGCAGAAGAACAGGCCUAGUUUUUUAAGAAGCCACAAAAGUGUCUUUGGAUGAUUAGGAUCUAAGGGGCCAACAGCUUUGCAAUAACAGCAUAAAUAUUGUGGGCUGGAUGGACAGGCACCAAAUGGGGACAUUCCAUCCUGCUGUGUGAUGAGAAAGCUGCCACUUUUGAGGCCUUCCAAAACAAAUCAACACUCCAUAUGCCAGAAGGAAAAGCCCAGGAAAGACCUAUUCCAACUGGAGAUGGUGAAUGUCAUUUCUUCAAGAAGCUGAGAUCCAGCUGGUACUGCCAGGUGGAGAGUGAGUUGGGUAGCUGACCUCGGGCAUGGCAGCCUUGGUUUUUGGCCACUUCAUGGGGUGACCUGUUGAGCAAACAGCAGUGGAAUUCUGCAGCUGUGGACCAAGAUAUUGCUGUGUUCUUGUUUCUAGGAAUACGAAGGGAGAAUGAAACAAAACUGCUCCGCUUAGGGAACUUGGAAAGGAAAUUGAAAAGGCAAGGCACAGGCUGGAAGAAAAUAUUUGAAAAAGAUUUAUGUGAACUUCUUUCUGGAUUAUACAAAAUAUUUUUAGAUAUUCUUACAACUCUAAAAUAAGAUAACUCCUUAAAAAUCUAAAUUCUACCAAAGGAGAGAUAAAGAUGACGA
Molecule: long non-coding RNA, 662 nt
Filed under: Homo sapiens (human)
Lineage: Eukaryota; Metazoa; Chordata; Mammalia; Primates; Hominidae
Description: DAB1 antisense RNA 1
Source: RNAcentral